AAAUGUAGAUGUCAAAGAUUCUGAGAUGUCAAAAUCCAAUGUUGAUAGUGAUGGUUUUCAAAUAGUAAAAUCGAAACGUUCUACUAAAAACAAACAAACCAAAGUUCCUCCGAAGAACUUGCAAUUUCACGGGGAGGAUGUAAAUAUUGACGUCGCAACAUCCGUGUGCCGAAUACAAUCAUCUGUGGAAGAAUUAAAGGUUUCUGAAUACUUUAAAAGCAUAACUAAUACUGUGUAAUCAUGGCUUCGCUUACAACGAAACCUGCUUUAGUGACUUUGCGGCAGUUGCUCUCCGAGUUGCGGAAACAGAGCUCGGCAAAAAAGCUAUCUGAUAACCAAAUGGUCCAAUAUGUGUUUAGCCAAUAUCGUAAGUACCAGACUACAGACCAACAACUGUGCAAGGCGGCUGACGAAAUGCAUUAUAGAGCUAAAACAUAUUUUGAUUAUAUGCAUCAUAUUCGGAAGUAUAAAGAAAUUAAUACAGAGUUCAAAGGAAAAGGGGAGCGAAGUGUGGAAGAUACGGCCAGGAUGGUUGGGUUUAAAUUGCCUCAUGAUCCCCCGAAACCUUAAAUUGUAUGUCAAAUAUAGAUUAUUAGUUUAAAAUUAGAUGUAUCUGUAAAUAUAUCAUUUUCAAAGCAUAA
This 641-nucleotide unclassified non-coding RNA is filed under the name Manduca sexta (tobacco hornworm). Its description in RNAcentral is "sRR1-like protein, transcript variant X2". The record is from RNAcentral. Lineage: Eukaryota; Metazoa; Arthropoda; Insecta; Lepidoptera; Sphingidae.